Populus euphratica (Euphrates poplar) is the source of this 237-nucleotide long non-coding RNA. RefSeq lists it as uncharacterized. NCBI's taxonomy places the organism in Eukaryota, Viridiplantae, Streptophyta, Magnoliopsida, Malpighiales, Salicaceae. The transcript has 3 exons. The record is from RefSeq and is a predicted model, not a curated record.
UUCUACCUUUGAACACACAAGCAAUGACGAGAUGAAGGAAUUGCAAUAAUUGGUGGUGACACAAUUAAGGGGUUCACAUCUUCCGAGCAGGCAUGGAUUGCUCUUACUGGAGAAAAACUGGAUGCUACUCUAGCAAAACAUGUUAUAAAUAAAUGACAGGCAGUGCAAGACAGAGUCUGAUAAUAACUAUGUAGACGUCUGGAUUCUCAUGAGCAUAGAAUUUGUUGCGUCCAUUAC